CCGAGACUCAGUGAAAUUGAACUCGCUGUGAAGAUGCAGUGUACCCGCGGCAAGACGGAAAGACCCCGUGAACCUUUACUAUAGCUUGACACUGAACAUUGAGCCUUGAUGUGUAGGAUAGGUGGGAGGCUUUGAAGCGUGGACGCCAGUCUGCGUGGAGCCGACCUUGAAAUACCACCCUUUAAUGUUUGAUGUUCUAACGUGGACCCGUAAUCCGGGUUGCGGACAGUGUCUGGUGGGUAGUUUGACUGGGGCGGUCUCCUCCUAAAGAGUAACGGAGGAGCACGAAGGUUGGCUAAUCCUGGUCGGACAUCAGGAGGUUAGUGCAAUGGCAUAAGCCAGCUUGACUGCGAGCGUGACGGCGCGAGCAGGUGCGAAAGCAGGUCAUAGUGAUCCGGUGGUUCUGAAUGGAAGGGCCAUCGCUCAACGGAUAAAAGGUACUCCGGGGAUAACAGGCUGAUACCGCCCAAGAGUUCAUAUCGACGGCGGUGUUUGGCACCUCGAUGUCGGCUCAUCACAUCCUGGGGCUGAAGUAGGUCCCAAGGGUAUGGCUGUUCGCCAUUUAAAGUGGUACGCGAGCUGGGUUUAGAACGUCGUGAGACAGUUCGGUCCCUAUCUGCCGUGGGCGCUGGAGAACUGAGGGGGGCUGCUCCUAGUACGAGAGGACCGGAGUGGACGCAUCACUGGUGUUCGGGUUGUCAUGCCAAUGGCACUGCCCGGUAGCUAAAUGCGGAAGAGAUAAGUGCUGAAAGCAUCUAAGCACGAAACUUGCCCCGA
This 777-nucleotide ribosomal RNA is filed under the name Salmonella enterica subsp. enterica serovar Saintpaul. Its description in RNAcentral is "partial 23S ribosomal RNA". It matches the Rfam family "Bacterial large subunit ribosomal RNA", at positions 2026 to 2802 of the family's 2925-position model. RNAcentral also lists the same sequence under 2 other names. Lineage: Bacteria; Pseudomonadati; Pseudomonadota; Gammaproteobacteria; Enterobacterales; Enterobacteriaceae. The record is from RNAcentral.